AUUGAACGCUGGCGGCAUGCCUUACACAUGCAAGUCGAACGGUAACAGGUCUUCGGAUGCUGACGAGUGGCGAACGGGUGAGUAAUACAUCGGAACGUGCCUAGUAGUGGGGGAUAACUACUCGAAAGAGUGGCUAAUACCGCAUGAGAUCUACGGAUGAAAGCAGGGGAUCGCAAGACCUUGUGCUACUAGAGCGGCCGAUGGCGGAUUAGGUAGUUGGUGGGAUAAAAGCUUACCAAGCCGACGAUCUGUAGCUGGCCUGAGAGGACGAUCAGCCACACUGGGACUGAGACACGGCCCAGACUCCUACGGGAGGCAGCAGUGGGGAAUUUUGGACAAUGGGCGAAAGCCUGAUCCAGCAAUGCCGCGUGCAGGAUGAAGGCCUUCGGGUUGUAAACUGCUUUUGUACGGAACGAAAAGCCCCGGGUUAAUACCCUGGGGUCAUGACGGUACCGUAAGAAUAAGCACCGGCUAACUACGUGCCAGCAGCCGCAGUAA
This 498-nucleotide ribosomal RNA is filed under the name uncultured bacterium. RNAcentral describes it as "partial 16S ribosomal RNA". It matches the Rfam family "Bacterial small subunit ribosomal RNA", at positions 30 to 523 of the family's 1533-position model. The record is from RNAcentral.